RNAcentral lists this ribosomal RNA (440 nucleotides) under uncultured bacterium. RNAcentral's name for it is "partial 16S ribosomal RNA". It matches the Rfam family "Bacterial small subunit ribosomal RNA", at positions 338 to 795 of the family's 1533-position model. The record is from RNAcentral.
CCUACGGGGAGCAGCAGUGGGGAAUAUUGCACAAUGGGGUAAACCCUGAUGCAGCGACGCCGCGUGAGUGAAGACGUAUUUCGGUGUGUAAAGCUCUAUCAGCCGGGAAGAAAAUGACGGUACCUGUUUACGAAGCCCCGGCUAACUACGUGCCAGCAGCCGCGGUAAUACGUAGGGGGCAAGCGUUAUCCGGAUUUACGGGGUGGAAAGGGGGCGUAGAUGGCAGCACAAGGCUGGCGGGAAAUGCCGGGGCUUAACCCUGGAACUGCUUUGGAAACUGUGCAGCUAGAGUGCAGGAGAGGUAAGUGGAAUGCCUGGUGUAGCGGUGAAAUGCGUAGAUAUUAGGAAGAACACCAGUGGCGAAGGCGGCUUACUGGAGUGUAACUGACGUUGAGGCUCGAAAGCGUGGGGAGCAAACAGGAUUAGAUACCCCAGUAGUC